RNAcentral lists this ribosomal RNA (478 nucleotides) under uncultured bacterium. Its description in RNAcentral is "partial 16S ribosomal RNA". It matches the Rfam family "Bacterial small subunit ribosomal RNA", at positions 28 to 523 of the family's 1533-position model. The record is from RNAcentral.
GACGAACGCUGGCGGCGUGCUUAACACAUGCAAGUCGAACGGUAAGGCCCUUCGGGGUACACGAGUGGCGAACGGGUGAGUAACACGUGGGUGAUCUGCCCUGCACUUCGGGAUAAGCCUGGGAAACUGGGUCUAAUACCGGAUAGGACCACUGCCUGCAUGGGUGGUGGUGGAAAGCUUUUGCGGUGUGGGAUGGGCCCGCGGCCUAUCAGCUUGUUGGUGGGGUGGUGGCCUACCAAGGCGACGACGGGUAGCCGGCCUGAGAGGGUGACCGGCCACGCUGGGACUGAGAUACGGCCCAGACUCCUACGGGAGGCAACAGUGGGGAAUAUUGCACAAUGGGCGCAAGCCUGAUGCAGCGACGCCGCGUGAGGGAUGACGGCCUUCGGGUUGUAAACCUCCUUCAGCACCGACGAAGCGCAAGUGACGGUAGGUGCAGAAGAAGGACCGGCCAACUACGUGCCAGCAGCCGCAGUAA